This 795-nucleotide long non-coding RNA is filed under the name Pogona vitticeps (central bearded dragon). Its description in RNAcentral is "lncRNA (ENSPVIG00000014565.1)". Lineage: Eukaryota; Metazoa; Chordata; Lepidosauria; Squamata; Agamidae. The record is from RNAcentral.
AAGCAACUGUGUUAAUUAACCAGUUAAUUCUGGAUGUGUGGUGAUGUCCCUGAUGGCAAACCAAGUCAGGGAGGGAGGGGAAACAUAUCGCCAUCCCCUUUACAAUAGUUUGUUGAAAGCAAAACAGUACAUGUUGCUUCAAUUGCCUUGGCAGUAGCGACAACUUUCCUUUUUCCUUUGAAAAUUGUGUCUCACUUUACAGAAGCUUACUAAAAUCAUGAUGGCUGGAGAACAUGUCCUAUUUCCAAGAGAGGAGGAUAAUCACAGAAUGAAUGCCAACCAUCACUAAGCAACCACUAGCAUCCUGCCAUUUUCCUUCCAAGAAUGGAAAGACUGUCUCUUCAGCUUGGGUUAGGUGGAUAUCAAGUGGGCUGGGAAGAAUAGGCAGCUCUUGGACGCCUCAGCAGAGAAACACUGGCAAUUCAAAGUGUGAGAGAGCCUCUUUCGUUUUGUGCUUCAUUACCACAAACUGUUUUACCCAAAACAGAAACUAAAUUCAAGACACAAAGAAAAGUAGGAGACUGACUGAAGAACCUGCGGUAUGCACCCUAUCUUCCUUCAGUCUGAAGCAAGGUGAUGGAAUUUACAAAUCAGAUAAUACAUGAUAUGAGCUUCAACUCUCCUUGGAAAAUAUAAAAAUAACUUCUGCAUGGGGGCGGCAGGGAGGGGGUAGGUUCUUUGACUUCUUCCUCAGCAAGCUGCGCUGAAAAUAAGGAAAACAUUCGCUCUUCGUAGCUUUGUAUCUUUCAUUGUUGUUUGGUUGAAAAUAAAAUGCAGAAUUGACAAGUGGACUCA